AUCUUUAUACUUGGAGUAAUGAUGCAAUUACUAAGAUUAAAUCAAGAUGUAUCAAUUGUUGGUUAAAAACUAUUUCUAGCUCCUCUGUGGUGCUUGGAAGGAUGUCCUGAAAUAUUUGGAAGGUUUGGUAUGUGUCAAGAC
This 141-nucleotide small nuclear RNA is filed under the name Physcomitrium patens. Its description in RNAcentral is "Physcomitrella patens U4 spliceosomal RNA". It matches the Rfam family "U4 spliceosomal RNA". Rfam says of the family: U4 small nuclear RNA (U4 snRNA) is a component of the major U2-dependent spliceosome. The structure of U4 snRNA from yeast and human has been reported. Lineage: Eukaryota; Viridiplantae; Streptophyta; Bryopsida; Funariales; Funariaceae. The record is from Rfam by way of RNAcentral.